This 497-nucleotide ribosomal RNA is filed under the name uncultured bacterium. RNAcentral describes it as "partial 16S ribosomal RNA". It matches the Rfam family "Bacterial small subunit ribosomal RNA", at positions 28 to 507 of the family's 1533-position model. The record is from RNAcentral.
GACGAACGCUGGCGGCGUGCCUAAUACAUGCAAGUCGAACGCUGAAGAGAGGAGCUUGCUCUUCUUGGAUGAGUUGCGAACGGGUGAGUAACGCGUAGGUAACCUGCCUUGUAGCGGGGGAUAACUAUUGGAAACGAUAGCUAAUACCGCAUAACAAUGGAUGACACAUGUCAUUUAUUUGAAAGGGGCAAUUGCUCCACUACAAGAUGGACCUGCGUUGUAUUAGCUAGUAGGUGAGGUAACGGCUCACCUAGGCGACGAUACAUAGCCGACCUGAGAGGGUGAUCGGCCAAACUGGGAAUGAGAAACGGCCCAGAAUCCUAAGGGAGGGAGCAGGAGGGAAUCUUCGGGAAUGGGGGCAACCCUGAACGAGCAACGCCGCGUGGGGGAAGAAGGUUUUCGGAUCGUAAAGCUCUGUUGUAAGUCAAGAAAGAGAGUGAGAGUGGAAAGUUCACACUGUGACGGUAGCUUACCAGAAAGGGACGGCUAACUACGUG